RNAcentral lists this ribosomal RNA (548 nucleotides) under Leptodactylus payaya. RNAcentral describes it as "partial 16S ribosomal RNA". It matches the Rfam family "Bacterial large subunit ribosomal RNA", at positions 1863 to 2606 of the family's 2925-position model. The record is from RNAcentral. Lineage: Eukaryota; Metazoa; Chordata; Amphibia; Anura; Leptodactylidae.
CCAGUGACUUUGUUCAACGGCCGCGGUAUCCUAACCGUGCGAAGGUAGCGUAAUCACUUGUUCUUUAAAUGAGGACUAGUAUGAAUGGCACCACGAAGGUUAUACUGUCUCCUUUCUUUAAUCAGUGAAACUAAUCUCCCCGUGAAGAAGCGGGGAUUUAACUAUAAGACGAGAAGACCCUAUGGAGCUUCAAACAUAAGUAACAAUUGCCCACUAUAAUAUUUAAUCUACGGAAAUCAGCCACAGUAUUUAGGCAUAUUGAUUACAAGUUUUAGGUUGGGGUGACCGCGGAGCAAAAAACAACCUCCGCAGUGAAUGGAACUUAUUUCCUAAACCCAGGGCUACGACCCAAAGAAUCAACAAAUUGACACCGAUUGACCCAAUAUUUUGAUCAAUGAACCAAGUUACCCUAGGGAUAACAGCGCAAUCCACUUCAAGAGCCCCUAUCGACAAGUGGGUUUACGACCUCGAUGUUGGAUCAGGGUAUCCCAGUGGUGCAGCCGCUACUAAAGGUUCGUUUGUUCAACGAUUAAAACCCUACGUGAUCU